CUUCCGGUUCCUCCACCAAAGAUUAAGCUCUCAAAUAGGGGUGAGUAAAAUAGCUGGGCUGGUCCAGUGGUAUAAUUCAGUUAUCAAACUUCAGGGAAUGGUUGGCAAUAUGAGCAAUAUGUUGCUGUACUGCUUCUGGUUUUGGAAUUUCUUUUAGCAACCACAGGACAAAAUGCAAUGCUGCUCGAGUUACCUGCACCCCCAGAACUGGCUAACACCAUCAAUAGACGACCAGAGAGUCCUGCAUCUUCAGACAUUUCUGGAUGUUCUUGUCCAACGCCUCAUUGUUCACCCACAAGGUCUGAAUCAGCAGAAGCAUUUAGUCCAGGGUCAGCCAGAUCUAACCGUUCUCACACACCUCAGCGUGGAGUUUGUAAUCCAUCACAUUUUGGGAGCAGAAAAGGUUGGGCAUCCUCAUCCAGUGAGUCAAUGAUCAGUUGCAUUCUUCACUGCGGGGGCACGAUGAGUCAGUGGACUCCCUGAAUCCUGGAAUAUUGAGAUGCA
Long non-coding RNA from Esox lucius (northern pike), 504 nucleotides. RefSeq lists it as uncharacterized. Lineage: Eukaryota; Metazoa; Chordata; Actinopteri; Esociformes; Esocidae. The transcript is spliced from 3 exons. The record is from RefSeq and is a predicted model, not a curated record.